RNAcentral lists this ribosomal RNA (462 nucleotides) under uncultured bacterium. Its description in RNAcentral is "partial 16S ribosomal RNA". It matches the Rfam family "Bacterial small subunit ribosomal RNA", at positions 28 to 507 of the family's 1533-position model. The record is from RNAcentral.
GACGAACGCUGGCGGCGUGCUUAACACAUGCAAGUCGAACGGUGAAGCCCUUCGGGGUGGAUCAGUGGCGAACGGGUGAGUAACACGUGAGCAACCUGCCCCUGGCUCUGGGACAACCACUGGAAACGGUGGCUAAUACCGGAUACGACCCGCCUCGGCAGCGAGUGUGGGUGGAAAGUUUUUCGGCUGGGGAUGGGCUCGCGGCCUAUCAGCUUGUUGGUGAGGUGAAGGCUCACCAAGGCGACGACGGGUAGCCGGCCUGAGAGGGCGACCGGCCACACUGGGACUGAGACACGGCCCAGACUCCUACGGGAGGCAGCAGUGGGGAAUAUUGCACAAUGGGCGAAAGCCUGAUGCAGCGACGCCGCGUGAGGGAUGACGGCCUUCGGGUUGUAAACCUCUUUCAGCUCCGAAGAAGCGAAAGUGACGGUAGGAGCAGAAGAAGCACCGGCUAACUACGUG